RNAcentral lists this ribosomal RNA (484 nucleotides) under uncultured bacterium. RNAcentral's name for it is "partial 16S ribosomal RNA". It matches the Rfam family "Bacterial small subunit ribosomal RNA", at positions 30 to 507 of the family's 1533-position model. The record is from RNAcentral.
AUUGAACGCUGGCGGCAGGCCUAACACAUGCAAGUCGAGCGGAUGAAGUGAGCUUGCUCCUUGAUUCAGCGGCUUACUGGUGAGUAAUGCCUAGGAAUCUGCCUGGUAGUUGGGUAUAACGUCCGGAAACGGGCGCUAAUACCUCAUACCUCCUGAUGGUGAAAGAGGGGGAUCUUCGGACCUCUCGCUAUCAGAUGAGCCUACGUCGGGUUAACUAGUUAGUCGGGUAAAGGCCUAACAAGGCGACGAUCCGUAACUGGUAUGAGAGGAUGAACAGUCACACUAGAACAGAGAGUCGGUCCCGACUCCUACGGGAGGAAGCAGUGGAGAAUAUUGGGCGAAGGAGGAAAGCCUGAUACAGCAAUACCGAGUGUGUGAAGAAGGUCUUCGGAUUGUAAAGCACUUUAAGUAGGGAGGAAGGGAAGUAAGUUAAGAACUUAAUGUUUUGACGGUACCAACAGAAUAAGCACCGGCUAACUUCGUG